GGGCGUUAAGUUGCAGGGUAUAGACCCGAAACCCGGUGAUCUAGCCAUGGGCAGGUUGAAGGUUGGGUAACACUAACUGGAGGACCGAACCGACUAAUGUUGAAAAAUUAGCGGAUGACCUGUGGCUGGGGGUGAAAGGCCAAUCAAACCGGGAGAUAGCUGGUUCUCCCCGAAAGCUAUUUAGGUAGCGCCUCGUGAAUUCAUCUCCGGGGGUAGAGCACUGUUUCGGCUAGGGGGCCAUCCCGGCUUACCAACCCGAUGCAAACUGCGAAUACCGGAGAAUGUUAUCACGGGAGACACACGGCGGGUGCUAACGUCCGUCGUGAAGAGGGAAACAACCCAGACCGCCAGCUAAGGUCCCAAAGUCAUGGUUAAGUGGGAAACGAUGUGGGAAGGCCCAGACAGCCAGGAUGUUGGCUUAGAAGCAGCCAUCAUUUAAAGAAAGCGUAAUAGCUCACUGGUCGAGUCGGCCUGCGCGGAAGAUGUAACGGGGCUAAACCAUGCACCGAAGCUGCGGCAGCGACGCUGAUGCGUUGUUGGGUAGGGGAGCGUUCUGUAAGCCUGUGAAGGUGGCCUGUGAGGGUUGCUGGAGGUAUCAGAAGUGCGAAUGCUGACAUAAGUAACGAUAAAGCGGGUGAAAAGCCCGCUCGCCGGAAGACCAAGGGUUCCUGUCCAACGUUAAUCGGGGCAGGGUGAGUCGACCCCUAAGGCGAGGCCGAAAGGCGUAGUCGAUGGGAAACGGGUUAAUAUUCCCGUA
Molecule: ribosomal RNA, 757 nt
Filed under: Salmonella enterica
Lineage: Bacteria; Pseudomonadati; Pseudomonadota; Gammaproteobacteria; Enterobacterales; Enterobacteriaceae
Also listed under: 2 other names
Description: bacterial LSU rRNA
Rfam family: Bacterial large subunit ribosomal RNA
Source: RNAcentral